Molecule: ribosomal RNA, 497 nt
Filed under: uncultured bacterium
Lineage: Bacteria
Description: partial 16S ribosomal RNA
Rfam family: Bacterial small subunit ribosomal RNA
Source: RNAcentral
GAUGAACGCUGGCGGCGUGCCUAAUACAUGCAAGUCGAGCGAACGGACGAGAAGCUUGCUUCUCUGAUGUUAGCGGCGGACGGGUGAGUAACACGUGGAUAACCUACCUAUAAGACUGGGAUAACUUCGGGAAACCGUAGCUAAUACCGGAUAAUAUUUUGAACCGCAUGGUUCAAAAGUGAAAGACGGUCUUGCUGUCACUUAUAGAUGGAUCCGCGCUGCAUUAGCUAGUUGGUAAGGUAACGGCUUACCAAGGCAACGAUGCAUAGCCGACCUGAGAGGGUGAUCGGCCACACUGGAACUGAGACACGGUCCAGACUCCUACGGGAGGCAGCAGUAGGGAAUCUUCCGCAAUGGGCGAAAGCCUGACGGAGCAACGCCGCGUGAGUGAUGAAGAUCUUCGGAUCGUAAAACUCUGUUAUUAGGGAAGAACAUAUGUGUAAGUAACUGUGCACAUCUUGACGGUACCUAAUCAGAAAGCCACGGCUAACUACGUG